Molecule: ribosomal RNA, 784 nt
Filed under: Arhysoceble sp. JS-2010
Lineage: Eukaryota; Metazoa; Arthropoda; Insecta; Hymenoptera; Apidae
Also listed under: 1 other name
Description: SSU rRNA
Rfam family: Eukaryotic small subunit ribosomal RNA
Source: RNAcentral
CGGGGAGGUAGUGACGAAAAAUAACGAUACGGGACUCAUCCGAGGCCCCGUAAUCGGAAUGAGUACACUUUAAAUCCUUUAACGAGGACCAAUUGGAGGGCAAGUCUGGUGCCAGCAGCCGCGGUAAUUCCAGCUCCAAUAGCGUAUAUUAAAGUUGUUGCGGUUAAAAAGCUCGUAGUUGAAUCUGUGUGUCACAGUGUCGGUUCACCGCUCGCGGUGCCUAACUGGCAUUAUGUGGUACGUCCUACCGGUGGGCUUAGCUCCUCGCGGGCGGUCCAACUAAUCUCCCAUCGCGGUGCUCUUCACUGAGUGUCGAGGUGGGCCGGUACGUUUACUUUGAACAAAUUAGAGUGCUCAAAGCAGGCUACCUUCGCCUGAAUACUGCGUGCAUGGAAUAAUGGAAUAGGACCUCGGUUCUAUUUUGUUGGUUUUCGGAACCCCGAGGUAAUGAUUAAUAGGGACAGAUGGGGGCAUUCGUAUUGCGACGUUAGAGGUGAAAUUCUUGGAUCGUCGCAAGACGGACUAAAGCGAAAGCAUUUGCCAAAAAUGUUUUCAUUAAUCAAGAACGAAAGUUAGAGGUUCGAAGGCGAUCAGAUACCGCCCUAGUUCUAACCAUAAACGAUGCCAGCUAGCGAUCCGCCGAAGUUCCUCCGAUGACUCGGCGGGCAGCUUCCGGGAAACCAAAGCUUUUGGGUUCCGGGGGAAGUAUGGUUGCAAAGCUGAAACUUAAAGGAAUUGACGGAAGGGCACCACCAGGAGUGGAGCCUGCGGCUUAAUUUGACUC